AAACUGCCUGAACAUGCUGACCCUCACCGCCCACCAUCCAGCGGAGCAUUUGAAGAAAUUUGCCAUCGAUUACUUCCGCCGUUAUCCGGGUGAGGUCAUGGGAACGGACAACUGGAAAAAGAUGAAGGAAGAAAAUCCGGCGUUGUUGUGCGACUUGCAUCAAAUGGUUUUCACAGCGCCGACUGUCUAGAAGUCCUGUAUCCGUCUAUGUCCAUUUUUCUGAUACUGUUUUUAUAACACAGAAUCUUUCUACUGGAGAAAUUCAGCCUUCAUUUUCAAUUAAUGUCUUUCUGAAAUCAAGAAACGCAAAUUUGGUUGUAUCGUGUGGUUUCGCGUGUACAUGGACGCAAGUUCUUUUUUAAAAU
RNAcentral lists this unclassified non-coding RNA (365 nucleotides) under Daphnia pulicaria. Its description in RNAcentral is "speckle-type POZ protein B-like, transcript variant X3". Lineage: Eukaryota; Metazoa; Arthropoda; Branchiopoda; Diplostraca; Daphniidae. The record is from RNAcentral.